CUACGGGACGCUCCAGUGGGGAAUAUUGCACAAUGGGGGAAACCCUGAUGCAGCAACGCCGCGUGAGUGAUGAAGUAUUUCGGUAUGUAAAGCUCUAUCAGCAGGGAAGAUAAUGACGGUACCUGACUAAGAAGCUCCGGCUAAAUACGUGCCAGCAGCCGCGGUAAUACGUAUGGAGCAAGCGUUAUCCGGAUUUACUGGGUGUAAAGGGAGCGCAGACGGUGAUGCAAGUCAGAAGUGAAAGCCCGCGGCUUAACUGCGGGACUGCUUUUGAAACUGUAUGACUAGAGUGCUGGAGGGGCAAGCGGAAUUCCUGGUGUAGCGGUGAAAUGCGUAGAUAUCAGGAGGGACACCGGUGGCGAAGGCGGCUUGCUGGACAGUAACUGACGUUGAGGCUCGAAAGCGUGGGGAGCAAACAGGAUUAGAUACCCGUGUAGUC
RNAcentral lists this ribosomal RNA (439 nucleotides) under uncultured bacterium. Its description in RNAcentral is "partial 16S ribosomal RNA". It matches the Rfam family "Bacterial small subunit ribosomal RNA", at positions 339 to 795 of the family's 1533-position model. The record is from RNAcentral.